AGGAAAAAUCCGCCUUAAGAUGAAUCGUUAAUUUAUAGAGAUAGGUAGUUGUUAAGGUAAUGGCUUAACUAGCCAAUUAUUCUCUUAGUCGAAACUGAAAUGGUUGAUCGACCACAUUGGGGAUGAGAAAAUCCCAAGGCAAGCGAGUACAGCAGUGGGGAAUUUUGGUCAAUGGCCUAACGGCUGAACUGGCAACUUGGAGGAAUGGCCUAUCUUACUAGAUAAUAGUAGGACAUAGAGUGAAAUGGUUAAAUCGAAUAUCGAAUAAAAUUCUAAAUAUAUAAUUUAUAAUGACAAUAUAUAUUUAUGUCUUGACUAAUUACGUGCCAGCAGUCGCGGUAAUACGUAAGAGACUAGUGUUAUUCAUCUUUAAUAGGUUUAAAGGGUACCCAAACGGAAUAAAUUUGCCUGAAAAGGAACAAUUUAUAUCUAGAGUUUAAGAAGAAAAGGUAGUACCUAAGGAGUAGAGAUAGAAUUCGUUUAUACCAAUAGGGACAGGUAAAGGCGAAGGCAACCUUUUAUGUAAAAACUGACGUUGAAGGACGAAGGCUAAGGGCGCGAACAGGAUUAGAUACCCUAGUAGUCUUAGCAGUAAAUUAUGAAUGCCAUAAGUUGGAUUAUAUUCUAAUUUAUAAAUGAAAGUGUAAGCAUUUCACCUCAAGAGUAAUGUGGCAACGCAGGAACUGAAAUCACUAGGCCGUUUCUGACAUCAGUAAUGAAGUAUGUUAUUUAAUUCGAUGAUCCACGAAAAACCUUACCACAAUUAGAAUUAUUCUUGUAUUAUAUUUAAUAUAAUAUAUGAAUAACGAGUGUUGCACGGCUGUUUCCAGUUAAUGUUGUGAAACUGUGGCUUUAGCCAAGAAAUUAACGAAAACCCUAGCUUUAUUUAUAAAAUAUUUUUUUAUAAAGCUGCUUUUAUCAUUAUAUCGAUAAAAUAAUAGGGCCUAAGACAAGUCAUCAUGGCCUUUAUAUUGUGGGCUAUAGACGUGCCACAUAUACCUAUACAAAGAGAUGCAAAAAUGAGAAUUUAAGCUAAUCUCGAAAAUAGGAUAAAAAAGAUAAGGAUUGUAGUCUGUAACUCGACUAUAUGAAUAAGUAAUUACUAGUAA
RNAcentral lists this ribosomal RNA (1109 nucleotides) under Ophiostoma pseudonigrum. RNAcentral describes it as "SSU rRNA". It matches the Rfam family "Bacterial small subunit ribosomal RNA", at positions 202 to 1341 of the family's 1533-position model. The record is from RNAcentral. Lineage: Eukaryota; Fungi; Ascomycota; Sordariomycetes; Ophiostomatales; Ophiostomataceae.